GGGGGUGUAGCUCAGUCUGGCAGAGCGCCUGGUUUGCAUCCAGGAGGCCGUCGGUUCGAAUCCGAUCACCUCCA
This 74-nucleotide transfer RNA is filed under the name bacterium. Its description in RNAcentral is "tRNA-Ala". It matches the Rfam family "tRNA". From Rfam's summary of the family: Transfer RNA (tRNA) molecules are approximately 80 nucleotides in length. The record is from RNAcentral.